RNAcentral lists this long non-coding RNA (697 nucleotides) under Phoenix dactylifera (date palm). RNAcentral describes it as "long non-coding RNA (PDAC_LNC015630)". The record is from RNAcentral. Lineage: Eukaryota; Viridiplantae; Streptophyta; Magnoliopsida; Arecales; Arecaceae.
CGGUGUACGAUCUUACAGUGUAUAUUUACAUGAAGAUUUUUGAUAACAUACAUAACAUGAUUAUUGAUUCAGUAUGAAUAUUUUAUCAUGAUGAAUUGUUAAGUAAGGUGCAUGUUAGCUUUUCAAACCCUGCAUGAACAUGUUUAGUACUAUACUAGAUCCGGUAAGAUUAUGCAGGAUUACUUACUGAGCCGUGUAGCUCAUACCAUUCUAUUGGUAUUUUCUUUCAGAUCCUCACCACUGAUAACAGUUAGAGAUGUUCCUAUUUUGUAUCAGGGCUUCUCUCUUUUGGGGUAGAGCAAACAUACAUUUGUAUACAUAAACUGUAUAGAAGCUCUGUGUUUUGUACCACUCAGUGUGUUGUAAUAGAACUACUUUAAUAUAUGAAAGUUUGAAUGGUUUGACUACCCUAUUUACUCAUGUAUGAGGCUUCAUGCUAUUGUGGGUAGUAGUCGGCAAUAGCACGGCCGUGUCACGGAUCCGGGUACGGGGCGUGGCAAAUACAGGGGAAAGGUAGAUGCUAACAGAAUUCAGCUCCUGCAUCCAGUAUGUGUCAUAGUGGCCGAAUUUAACCAAUUAGUCUUAAAUGUUUGUCUGGCUCUUUCUCUACCCACCCUGGACCAUUCCCUUUCCUGGUCUGAGAUUGUAGCAUCAGUUGUUUCUAUUCUAGCCUUUUACAUUCAUUUAGUGACUGCUU